AUGAAGUUUUUUAUUAUGUUUUUUUUUUCCUGUUCUAAUGAGAUACUCAGGGACACAAGUUAUUCAUCUGUCAAAACACUCGUGCCAUGGCUACAGGCAAUGACUGUAUGGCAGACCCACAGCAACAGCUCUUGGCACAUGCUUGUAGUCAUUCUACCUGUAUUACUGUCUGAUAGCAUGAACAAUAUUAAUUCAGUAUGAGUCUUGUGAAGUUUAUUAAGAGUAGAUUGCUUCUGAAUGUUUCUGAAAAGAAAUGCUGUUGAUUAUCUAUCUAGGAAGUCUUCUGUAAAAAGCAUCUUUGUCCCCUACUGCACCCUCUUCUCAAGUAGCUUGUGCCACCCUGUGCUGAACUCUGCUGCUCUGGGCAGUCUGGUCUAGUAUUAGGUGGGAUGGUUGGUGGCCCUGCGUGUGGCAGGGGGGUUGGAGAUUCAUGAUACUUGAGGUCCCUUCCAACCCUGGCAAUUCUGUGAUUCUGUGAUUCUGUGAAAGUGCACAAUAUCCUCAGCUUCCACUGGAACAAGGGCAACUCUGUUCAAUAUGUAGCAUAUCCUCAGCAUCUCACAGGACGUGGUCUUUAGGCUCCAGCUCACAAACACAUGGGCUUAACUUAAGCAUGUGAGUAGUCCUAUUAAUGUUGAAGUACUUAAAGUUAACCAUGUAUGUAAUUGCUUGCAGGGCUGGUUCCUUAAUUAGCUACACUCAUCCUUUAAUCCUCCCUAUCUUUUAACCUCUGUACUGUUACAUGACUCAAUUUCUUUAAUCAGAUAAUGAACAUUAGAUAAAUUGUUAUUUACUGCUUCUGUUUCAAGACUUGAACUAAAAAAUGAUGGUCUCUGGAUAGGUCCUAAACACAACAAAACAUAAAACACAGUGAGAGAAGUUUGCAAGUUUUGAAGAAUGUCCUAACUUUUUGUUAGAUGGAUGACUUUUCAGACUUCCUGAAAUCAUGCAUGGAUUUCCUGACGGCAUUUUUAUCUAAGUUUAAAAGUUACACAUUCUUUGUGUUAAAAAAAAAUAGUAAUUACAUAGUCAAAGCAGCAGCCAAUCAAAACUGAAAUUCAUCAGUGCAAAGAUAGCAGUCAAGUUCUAGAACUACAAAACAGCACAGAAAAAGAAGAAAAAGGAAAAUGAAAAGGAACACGUGGAGGUGAAGGAAAAGGUAAAACAAAAAGAAGAGGAAGAGGAAAAAGAACACUGACAAAAGUAGUUUGGAAGAUGCCAUUUUCCAAUUGAAGUUUUUCACUGGAAGUGUGUGUGAGCUGCAGCUGGUUGUGCUGCCUGCUUUCUACCAAUGUCUCCUUACCAAGCGUAAGGCUACCGAGAGGGCAGGAGAAACUUUGGCGCAGUCUGGCUCACUGAUUUCCCUACUCCCUUGGCCUAUUUUUUUCCCAAUUUUUAAUUUUUUUCUUUCUCUUAGUUCGGCACAUUAACAUUCCUCUAAAAUUUAAUUAUGCUCCCUCAAGAUUCCCAAGAGCCCUCUGCUUGAGCUUAUUUUCUCCAUUUGCUUUAAUUCUAAGUAACGAGCACCUAUACUAUACUUUGCAGGAGUCCAACCCCCUGUAGUUUCCUUUACUCCCUCCAUAUGCUGCAAGCUGUCCCUUUUGGAGAAUUGCCCUGUAGCUUGACUGGGGGCCUAUUCUUUCUCAGAUAAUUUCCCUAUAAGGUUCACUGCUACUGAGAGCAGGACUACUGACAGCAUACAUUUUGAAUCCAGCCAUGAAAAUUGCUUCGUGAUAAUCUUUACCAAAUGCUGCAUUACAUGGUACAACAUUUGCUACUGGGCUGGGGAUUCUUCUCUCCGUUUGUAAAUCUGCUUUUAUGACCAUAUUAUUUUGAACACUUCAUUUCAUGCCUAGUACUGAAAAAGGAAUAAAAUAUCACAGUAAAGCA
RNAcentral lists this long non-coding RNA (1890 nucleotides) under Phasianus colchicus (ring-necked pheasant). RNAcentral describes it as "lncRNA (ENSPCLG00000012615.1)". The record is from RNAcentral. Lineage: Eukaryota; Metazoa; Chordata; Aves; Galliformes; Phasianidae.